This 254-nucleotide ribosomal RNA is filed under the name uncultured bacterium. Its description in RNAcentral is "partial 16S ribosomal RNA". It matches the Rfam family "Bacterial small subunit ribosomal RNA", at positions 524 to 776 of the family's 1533-position model. The record is from RNAcentral.
UACGAACCGUGCGAACGUUAUUCGGAAUCACUGGGCUUAAAGCGCGUGUAGGCGGAUGGGGACGUCGGCCACUGAAAGCCCCCGGCUCAACCGGGGAAGGGGUGCCGAAACGGCCCGUCUGGAGGGGCGUAGGGGGACCUGGAACUUCCGGUGGAGCGGUGAAAUGCGUUGAGAUCGGAAGGAACGCCCGUGGCGAAAGCGAGGUCCUGGACGUCAUCUGACGCUGAGACGCGAAAGCUAGGGGAGCGAACGGG